AAGGCACAAAGUGGAAGACAGCGUGGAUCCCCAGGGCACCGUGCUUGGGGAGCAGAUCCCUAGGGACUCGGGCUGGAAUGGAGUGGACUGGGGAAGAUGCGGCCGUGGCUGUCUCAGGCUCCAGGACAGUGAGGAGCAGGCCAGAGCUGCCUUGGCUUGGGAUGGGCAAGACCAUAAGGAUGCCUCAGGGGGACAACAGGGCAGAGUCUCACACUGUCGCCCAGUCUGGAGUGCAUUGGCGCUGUCUUGGCUCACUGCAACCUCCUCAUCCCGGGUUCAAGCAAUUCUCCCACCUCAGCCCCCCGAGUAGCUGGGAUUACAGGUGCACCACGCCCGGCCAAUUUUUGUAUUUUCAGUAGAGACAGGGUUUCACCAUGUUGGCCAGGCUGGUCUCAAACUCCUGGUUUCAAGUGAUCUGCCUGCCUCAGCCUCCCAAAGUGGUGGGAUUACAGGCGUGGGCCACCGUGCCUGGCCCAAAUAAGCAGAAUUUUAAAUUGAGGAAUUAAAUCCCACAGCAGAUGGAGUAGGAGCUGAAGCCACCUGCGGCCCAAUCCCAGUUAUUGGAGAUAAGGUGCAGGCAGGGCA
Molecule: small RNA, 585 nt
Filed under: Pongo abelii (Sumatran orangutan)
Lineage: Eukaryota; Metazoa; Chordata; Mammalia; Primates; Hominidae
Description: processed transcript
Source: RNAcentral